AAGAACAUACACCGAUGAUAACUUUUGUUUUUCCCUCUUGUGUUCUGCUUAGUAGGAUGGAGAAAGAAGUCAAGGGUAAGAGCCCACCCCCGUUGUGAGAUGGAAGGCGCACAAGAGCCAUGAGACAGUGAGCAUUGUUGAUGCCAGGCUAUGGCGAUGCCAUCUAGCUGGAAGCGGAGCAGCCGUCACUGUCAGUGAGCUAAGUGUCUGGUUUGGUGAGGAGUCUGGUCACGGCCCACAUGGCUCCAGGCAGGGAUGCGCCGUUAGCUUGGUCUGUGUUUGUAAGAAAAGGUUCCCGUCUAGCUGUGGCUACGAGGGAGACGAGGUCCCCGUUAUCAGGGGCUGCUCAUUUUGUCUGGCCAGGAGCGGUGUGUCCACCGCAGCGAAAGGUUGCAUCUAGGAGGAUGACUCUAGCUGAGGAACAGUCGAGCAGCAGCCGAAGGAAAAGCUGGCAGAGGUGGACCAGAGCAGCCUGGACAUCCUUGUAAGCAGAGAUUAACAGUGCUCCGCUUUCUGCCUUCCGCAUAACUGACUAGGGAGAAUUUCCCUAUAUUGGGAGCAGCUGAUCUUCCUGGACAGGGAGGAGCAUGUUCACCUGAGCAGAGGCCUGGAACCGGAAAGGUGAGUAC
Molecule: long non-coding RNA, 629 nt
Organism: Terrapene triunguis (Three-toed box turtle)
Lineage: Eukaryota; Metazoa; Chordata; Testudines; Emydidae
Exons: 3
Source: RefSeq, a predicted model, not a curated record